Molecule: ribosomal RNA, 397 nt
Filed under: uncultured bacterium
Lineage: Bacteria
Description: bacterial SSU rRNA
Rfam family: Bacterial small subunit ribosomal RNA
Source: RNAcentral
AGCGAACGCUGGCGGCGUGCUUAACACAUGCAAGUCGAGUGCGCGUUUCGUAGCAAUACGGGAUGGCGCACGGCGCACGGGUGAGGAACACGUGGGCAACAUGCCCUCUGAUGGGGAAUAACCCCGCGAAAGCGGGGCUAAUACCGCAUAAGAUUCCGGGGACCUCGGUCCCUGGACUGAAAGCCCGCAAGGGCGUCGGAGGAGUGGCCCGCGGCCGAUUAGCUUGUUGGCGGGGUAACGGCCCACCAAGGCAAUGAUCGGUAGCCGGUCUGAGAGGACGACCAGCCACACUGGGACUGAGACACGGCCCAGACUCCUACGGGAGGCAGCAGUAGGGAAUCUUGCGCAAUGGGCGAAAGCCUGACGCAGCAACGCCGCGUGGGGAUGACGGCCUCGG